This 430-nucleotide ribosomal RNA is filed under the name uncultured bacterium. Its description in RNAcentral is "bacterial SSU rRNA". It matches the Rfam family "Bacterial small subunit ribosomal RNA", at positions 355 to 775 of the family's 1533-position model. The record is from RNAcentral.
UGGGGAAUAUUGCGCAAUGGGCGAAAGCCUGACGCAGCAACGCCGCGUGAGUGACGAAGGCCUUCGGGUCGUAAAGCUCUGUCGGAGGGGACGAUGGGAGUGUGUGAAUAAUACCUCACACUUUUGACGGUACCCUCAAAGGAAGCACCGGCUAACUCUGUGCCAGCAGCCGCGGUAAGACAGAGGGUGCAAGCGUUGUUCGGAAUUACUGGGCGUAAAGCGCGUGUAGGCGGCCUGAAAAGUCGGAUGUGAAAGCCCUCGGCUCAACUGAGGAAGUGCAUCCGAAACUGUCAGGCUCGAGUGCCGGAGAGGUAAGGGGAAUUCCCGGUGUAGAGGUGAAAUUCGUAGAUAUCGGGAGGAACACCGGCGGCGAAGGCGCCUUACUGGACGGCAACUGACGCUGAGACGCGAAAGCGUGGGGAGCAAACAG